AUACAGAACACUGUACCAAUGAAAGUCUUCCAAGCACGAGCAUCUUCACUCUGACGCCAGCCAUUGGGCCAGCCCAUCACCACUGUGUUGUGCUUCAUGCCUCCAAGGCCACAGGACUGGAUAAGGUCAAGCACUGAGCACAGGGAUGCCUAAAAAGUGAAUACCAGACACGGUUUGAUUGUCAGGAUCAACAUGUUUGGAGUCUAACUAGGAAUUAUGUUUAUUGAUAAUCUCACAGACAGGUCAUCUAUCUCAGCCUUCACACCAGCCCAUAUGAGAUAAACCCUAUGACUUCCUGUGUCUGGACAAUCAUGAACUAUGAAGAGGGGUGCUACAGUGCUAUCUGCCUCAAGGAAAAUUAGUACUUAUUUGGAAAA
Long non-coding RNA from Grammomys surdaster, 377 nucleotides. RefSeq lists it as uncharacterized. The record is from RefSeq and is a predicted model, not a curated record. Lineage: Eukaryota; Metazoa; Chordata; Mammalia; Rodentia; Muridae. The transcript is spliced from 4 exons.